Molecule: ribosomal RNA, 352 nt
Filed under: uncultured Acidobacteriota bacterium
Lineage: Bacteria; Pseudomonadati; Acidobacteriota
Description: bacterial SSU rRNA
Rfam family: Bacterial small subunit ribosomal RNA
Source: RNAcentral
GAUCCUGGCUCAGAAUCAACGCUGGCGGCGUGCCUAACACAUGCAAGUCGAACGCGAAAGUGGAGCAAUCCAUGAGUAGAGUGGCAAACGGGUGAGUAACGCGUGGGUGACCUACCUUCGAAUGGGGGAUAACGUCCCGAAAGGGACGCUAAUACCGCAUAACAUCCUGCCUUUGAACAGGUGGAGAUCAAAGCCGGGGAUCGCAAGACCUGGCGUUUGGAGAGGGGCCCGCGUCUGAUUAGCUAGUUGGUGAGGUAACGGCCCACCAAGGCGACGAUCAGUAUCCGGCCUGAGAGGGCGGACGGACACACUGGGACUGAGACACGGCCCAGACUCCUACGGGAGGCAGCAG